AGGUUUUUCUGUUUGACUUUAACGAGAAGCAGGAGCUUACUGAAAGACCCAGGCAGUGUUUGCCGUAUGCUGUAGUUUCAUUUGUUCCUGCCAGCAGUGCCAUUCUGACUGUGCCUACAAACCUACCACUCUCAGCUUCAGCGCUACCUAUUGGCCAAGUGCAUGACCAUUUUAAGGCAUGUACUGUGGCAAAGAGAAGAGGAAAAGGAGACACUGCCACCAUUACAUUCAAACAUUUUGGCACGCCGGGCUGCUGUGAGACAGAUUAUACACCUCAGAAUCCAGAAGUAGAAGCUCCACUUAAAAAGAGCGAUAUGCAAAACACUCAGUCAUUCAACCCAAAACAGCACCGGAUUGCUGCCAGUGAGGACUCCGAAUAUUCCAGCAGUUCAGGGCCAGUUAUGGAUCACACUGCUGUCUCCCAAAGCUUGCUGGGAAAGAAAGCAU
RNAcentral lists this long non-coding RNA (447 nucleotides) under Sinocyclocheilus grahami. RNAcentral's name for it is "lncRNA (ENSSGRG00000014274.1)". Lineage: Eukaryota; Metazoa; Chordata; Actinopteri; Cypriniformes; Cyprinidae. The record is from RNAcentral.